RNAcentral lists this long non-coding RNA (209 nucleotides) under Eucalyptus grandis. Its description in RNAcentral is "long non-coding RNA (EGRA_LNC006407)". Lineage: Eukaryota; Viridiplantae; Streptophyta; Magnoliopsida; Myrtales; Myrtaceae. The record is from RNAcentral.
CCAUAAGCUCUGCGGCGAGAUGCUUGACCUCCAUUGCACUGCCGCCUUUCUCCCCCUGCACAAAGAUCGCGGUCUCUGUUGAAUACUCUGUCGCCGGCCGGUCGAUGGAGGCCAAGAUCUUGGUGAAGGAAAGGCCGACUUCCGUAAACACCAAGUUAUCUGCCUUAAUUUCUGAAGGAAAGAGACGGAGAGAGAGAUGGAGAAGAGAG